AACGUAGGAGGCAAGCGUUAUCCGGAUUUACUGGGCGUAAAGGGCGUGCAGGUGGUGGUGUAAGUGGUGCGUGAAAGCGCCCGGCUCAACCGGGCGAGGCCGUGCCAAACUGCGCGACUAGAAACAGGUAGAGGAACAUGGAAUUCGGGGUGUAGUGGUGAAAUGCGUAGAGAUCCCGAGGAACUCCAGUGGCGAAGGCGAUGUUCUGGACCUGCUUUGACACUCAGACGCGAAAGCAUGGGGAGCGAACGGG
RNAcentral lists this ribosomal RNA (253 nucleotides) under uncultured bacterium. RNAcentral describes it as "partial 16S ribosomal RNA". It matches the Rfam family "Bacterial small subunit ribosomal RNA", at positions 524 to 776 of the family's 1533-position model. The record is from RNAcentral.